This 253-nucleotide ribosomal RNA is filed under the name uncultured bacterium. RNAcentral's name for it is "partial 16S ribosomal RNA". It matches the Rfam family "Bacterial small subunit ribosomal RNA", at positions 524 to 776 of the family's 1533-position model. The record is from RNAcentral.
UACGUAGGGUGCGAGCGUUGUCCGGAAUUAUUGGGCGUAAAGAGCUCGUAGGCGGUUUGUUGCGUCGGCUGUGAAAUCCCGAGGCUCAACCUCGGGUCUGCAGUCGAUACGAGCAAACUAGAGUGUUGCAGGGGAGACUGGAAUUCCUGGUGUAGCGGUGAAAUGCGCAGAUAUCAGGAGGAACACCGGUGGCGAAGGCGGGCCUCUGGGCAACAACUGACGCUGAGGAGCGAAAGCGUGGGGAGCGAACAGG